AUUGAACGCUGGCGGCAUGCCUUACACGUGCAAGUCGAACGGCAGCACGGGUGCUUGCACCUGGUGGCGAGUGGCGAACGGGUGAGUAAUACAUCGGAACGUACCUUAUCGUGGGGGAUAACGCAGCGAAAGCUGUGCUAAUACCGCAUACGCCCUGAGGGGGAAAGCGGGGGAUCGCAAGACCUCGCGCGAUUAGAGCGGCCGAUGCCUGAUUAGCUUGUUGGUGGGGUAAAAGCCCACCAAGGCGACGAUCAGUAGCUGGUCUGAGAGGACGAUCAGCCACACUGGGACUGAGACACGGCCCAGACUCCUACGGGAGGCAGCAGUGGGGAAUUUUGGACAAUGGGGGCAACCCUGAUCCAGCAAUGCCGCGUGAGUGAAGAAGGCCUUCGGGUUGUAAAGCUCUUUUGUCAGGGAAGAAACACCGGCUCUAACACAGUCCGGGAAUGACGGUACCCGAAGAAUAAGCACCGGCUAACUACGUGCCAGCCGCCGCAGUAA
Molecule: ribosomal RNA, 501 nt
Filed under: uncultured bacterium
Lineage: Bacteria
Description: partial 16S ribosomal RNA
Rfam family: Bacterial small subunit ribosomal RNA
Source: RNAcentral